UCCGGGUGCAGUGGCAUGUGCCUAUAGUCUUAGCUAUUAGAGAGGCUGAGGUGGGAGGAUCACUUGAGCCCAGGAGUUCUGGGCUGUAGUGCACUAUGCCAAUCCGGUGUCUGCACUAAGUUUGGCAUCAAUAUGGUGACCUCCUGGGAGCGGAGGACCACCAAGUUGCCUAAGGAGGGGUGAACCAUCCCAGGUCGGAAACAGAGGAGGUCAAAACUCCCGUGCUGAUUAGUGUGGGAUCUCGCCUGUGGAUAGCCACUGCACUCCAGCCCAGGCAACAUAGCAAAACCCUGUCUCU
This 298-nucleotide signal recognition particle RNA is filed under the name Aotus nancymaae (Ma's night monkey). RNAcentral's name for it is "Metazoan signal recognition particle RNA (ENSANAG00000001997.1)". It matches the Rfam family "Metazoan signal recognition particle RNA". From Rfam's summary of the family: The signal recognition particle (SRP) is a universally conserved ribonucleoprotein. It is involved in the co-translational targeting of proteins to membranes. The record is from RNAcentral. Lineage: Eukaryota; Metazoa; Chordata; Mammalia; Primates; Aotidae.